GUUUAGGACAGCUGCUGCCAAA
This 22-nucleotide microRNA is filed under the name Citrus sinensis (sweet orange). RNAcentral's name for it is "csi-miR12106-5p". The record is from miRBase by way of RNAcentral. Lineage: Eukaryota; Viridiplantae; Streptophyta; Magnoliopsida; Sapindales; Rutaceae.